GACGAACGCUGGCGGCGUGCCUAAUACAUGCAAGUUGAGCGCUGAAGGUUGGUACUUGUACCGACUGGAUGAGCAGCGAACGGGUGAGUAACGCGUGGGGAAUCUGCCUUUGAGCGGGGGACAACAUUUGGAAACGAAUGCUAAUACCGCAUAAAAACUUUAAACACAAGUUUUAAGUUUGAAAGAUGCAAUUGCAUCACUCAAAGAUGAUCCCGCGUUGUAUUAGCUAGUUGGUGAGGUAAAGGCUCACCAAGGCGAUGAUACAUAGCCGACCUGAGAGGGUGAUCGGCCACAUUGGGACGGGGACACGGCCCAAACGCCUACGGGAGGCAGCAGUAGGGAAUCUUCGGCAAUGGACGAAAGUCUGACCGAGCAACGCCGCGUGAGUGAAGAAGGUUUUCGGAUCGUAAAACUCGGUUGGUAGAGAAGAACGUUGGUGAGAGUGGAAAGCUCAUCAAGUGACGGUAACUACCCAGAAAGGGACGGCUAACUACGUG
This 497-nucleotide ribosomal RNA is filed under the name uncultured bacterium. Its description in RNAcentral is "partial 16S ribosomal RNA". It matches the Rfam family "Bacterial small subunit ribosomal RNA", at positions 28 to 507 of the family's 1533-position model. The record is from RNAcentral.